GAUUAGGAUUUGGUUUAGGUUUAGGAUUUGAUUUAGGAUUUAGAAUUUGGUUAGGGUUUGGUUUAGGGUUUGGUUAGGAUUUGAUUUAGAGAUUGAUUAGGAUUUGGUUUAGGGUUUAGGAUUUAAUUUAGGAUUUAGGGUUUGAUUUAGGAUUUGUUUAGAAUUUGGAUAGAAUUUGGUUUAGGAUUUGGUUAGGAUUUGGUUUAGAAUUUAGGGUUUUAUUUAGGAUUUAGGAUUUUAUUAGGAUUUAUUUAGGAUUUAAGAUUUAAUUAGUUUUGGCCUAAAGUUUGAAUGAAGUCCAAUAGGAUUUUAACUAAGAUUAAAUUAAGAUUGAAUUGAGAUGUAUUUGAGAGAUAUUUGUGAUCAUUCUAAUAUUUCUUUAA
This 383-nucleotide long non-coding RNA is filed under the name Physcomitrium patens. Its description in RNAcentral is "long non-coding RNA (PPAT_LNC003619)". The record is from RNAcentral. Lineage: Eukaryota; Viridiplantae; Streptophyta; Bryopsida; Funariales; Funariaceae.